RNAcentral lists this ribosomal RNA (119 nucleotides) under Gouania willdenowi (blunt-snouted clingfish). The record is from RNAcentral. Lineage: Eukaryota; Metazoa; Chordata; Actinopteri; Blenniiformes; Gobiesocidae.
GCUUACGGCCAUACCACCCUGAAAACGCCCGAUCUCGUCUGAUCUCGGAAGCUACGCAGGGUCGGGCCUGGUUAGUACUUGGAUGGGAGACCGCCUGGGAAUACCAGGUGCUGUAAGUU